RNAcentral lists this ribosomal RNA (496 nucleotides) under uncultured bacterium. Its description in RNAcentral is "partial 16S ribosomal RNA". It matches the Rfam family "Bacterial small subunit ribosomal RNA", at positions 28 to 507 of the family's 1533-position model. The record is from RNAcentral.
GAUGAACGCUGGCGGCGUGCCUAAUACAUGCAAGUCGAGCGAACAGACGAGGAGCUUGCUCCUCUGACGUUAGCGGCGGACGGGUGAGUAACACGUGGAAACCCACCUAUUAGAACGGGGUAAACUUGGGAAAACCGAGCCUAUUACCGAAAAUUUAUUUAACCGCCAUGGUUAAUUGGUAAAAACGGGUUUUCUGUUAAUUUAUAGUGGAUCCGCGCCGCAUUAGCUAGUUGGUAAGGUAACGGCUUACCAAGGCAACGAUGCGUAGCCGACCUGAGAGGGUGAUCGGCCACACUGGAACUGAGACACGGUCCAGACUCCUACGGGAGGCAGCAGUAGGGAAUCUUCCGCAAUGGGCGAAAGCCUGACGGAGCAACGCCGCGUGAGUGAUGAAGGUCUUCGGAUCGUAAAACUCUGUUAUUAGGGAAGAACAAAUGUGUAAGUAACUAUGCACGUCUUGACGGUACCUAAUCAGAAAGCCACGGCUAACUACGUG